AGUGAACGCUGGCGGUAGGCCUAGCACACGCAAGUCGAACGGCAGCACAGUAAGAGCUUGCUCUUACGGGUGGCGAGUGGCGGACGGGUGAGGAAUACAUCGGAAUCUACUUUUUCGUGGGGGAUAACGUAGGGAAACUUACGCUAAUACCGCAUACGACCUACGGGUGAAAGCAGGGGAUCUUCGGACCUUGCGCGAUUGAAUGAGCCGAUGUCGGAUUAGCUAGUUGGCGGGGUAAAGGCCCACCAAGGCGACGAUCCGUAGCUGGUCUGAGAGGAUGAUCAGCCACACUGGAACUGAGACACGGUCCAGACUCCUACGGGAGGCAGCAGUGGGGAAUAUUGGACAAUGGGCGCAAGCCUGAUCCAGCCAUACCGCGUGGGUGAAGAAGGCCUUCGGGUUGUAAAGCCCUUUUGUUGGGAAAGAAAAGCAGCAGGUUAAUACCCCGCUGUUCUGACGGUACCCAAAGAAUAAGCACCGGCUAACUUCGUG
RNAcentral lists this ribosomal RNA (492 nucleotides) under uncultured bacterium. Its description in RNAcentral is "partial 16S ribosomal RNA". It matches the Rfam family "Bacterial small subunit ribosomal RNA", at positions 29 to 507 of the family's 1533-position model. The record is from RNAcentral.